RNAcentral lists this ribosomal RNA (506 nucleotides) under uncultured bacterium. Its description in RNAcentral is "partial 16S ribosomal RNA". It matches the Rfam family "Bacterial small subunit ribosomal RNA", at positions 29 to 523 of the family's 1533-position model. The record is from RNAcentral.
AUUGAACGCUGGCGGCAGGCCUAACACAUGCAAGUCGGACGGUAGCACAGAGGAGCUUGCUCCUCGGGUGACGAGUGGCGGACGGGUGAGUAAUGUCUGGGGAUCUGCCCGAUAGAGGGGGAUAACCACUGGAAACGGUGGCUAAUACCGCAUAACGUCGCAAGACCAAAGAGGGGGACCUUCGGGCCUCUCACUAUCGGAUGAACCCAGAUGGGAUUAGCUAGUAGGCGGGGUAACGGCCCACCUAGGCGACGAUCCCUAGCUGGUCUGAGAGGAGGACCAGCCACACUGGAACUGAGACACGGUCCAGACUCCUACGGGAGGCAGCAGUGGGGAAUAUUGCACAAUGGGCGCAAGCCUGAUGCAGCCAUGCCGCGUGUAUGAAGAAGGCCUUCGGGUUGUAAAGUACUUUCAGCGGGGAGGAAGGCGAUAAGGUUAAUAACCUCGUCGAUUGACGUUACCCGCAGAAGAAGCACCGGCUAACUCCGUGCCAGCAGCCGCGGUAA